RNAcentral lists this transfer RNA (68 nucleotides) under Marmota monax (woodchuck). RNAcentral describes it as "tRNA.Ala". Lineage: Eukaryota; Metazoa; Chordata; Mammalia; Rodentia; Sciuridae. The record is from RNAcentral.
GGAUUGUGGGUCAGUGGUAGAGCGCUUGCCUAGCAUGUGUGAGGUCCUGGGUUAGAUCCUCAGCACCA